AGUGAACGCUGGCGGUAGGCCUAACACAUGCAAGUCGAACGGCAGCACAGUAAGAGCUUGCUCUUACGGGUGGCGAGUGGCGGACGGGUGAGGAAUACAUCGGAAUCUACUUUUUCGUGGGGGAUAACGUAGGGAAACUUACGCUAAUACCGCAUACGACCUACGGGUGAAAGCAGGGGAUCUUCGGACCUUGCGCGAUUGAAUGAGCCGAUGUCGGAUUAGCUAGUUGGCGGGGUAAAGGCCCACCAAGGCGACGCUCCGUAGCUGGUCUGAGAGGAUGAUCGGCCACACUGGAACUGAGACACGGUCCAGACUCCUACGGGAGGCAGCAGUGGGGAAUAUUGGACAAUGGGCGCAAGCCUGAUCCAGCCAUACCGCGUGAGUGAAGAAGGCCUUCGGGUUGUAAAGCCCUUUUGUUGGGAAAGAAAAGCAGCAGGUUAAUACCCCGCUGUUCUGACGGUACCCAAAGAAUAAGCACCGGCUAACUUCGUG
Molecule: ribosomal RNA, 492 nt
Filed under: uncultured bacterium
Lineage: Bacteria
Description: partial 16S ribosomal RNA
Rfam family: Bacterial small subunit ribosomal RNA
Source: RNAcentral